RNAcentral lists this ribosomal RNA (293 nucleotides) under uncultured bacterium. RNAcentral describes it as "partial 16S ribosomal RNA". It matches the Rfam family "Archaeal small subunit ribosomal RNA", at positions 455 to 747 of the family's 1478-position model. The record is from RNAcentral.
GUGCCAGCCGCCGCGGUAAUACCGGCAGCCCGAGUGAUGGCCGAUAUUAUUGGGCCUAAAGCGUCCGUAGCUGGCCGAACAAGUCCGUCGGGAAAUCCACGUGCUUAACGCGUGGGCGACCGGCGGAAACUGUUCGGCUUGGGGCCGGAGGACCCGAGGGGUACGUCUGGGGUAGGAGUGAAAUCCUGUAAUCCUGGACGGACCGCCGAUGGCGAAAGCACGUCGGGAAGACGGAUCCGACGGUGAGGGACGAAAGCCAGGGUCUCCAACCGGAUUAGAAACCCGGUUAGUCC